AGCAGUAGGGAAUAUUGGGCAAUGGGCGAGAGCCUGACCCAGCCAUGCCGCGUGCCGGAUGAAGGCCUUCUGGGUCGUAAACGGCUUUUGCCAGGGAAGAAUAAGGGCCAUGCGUGGCCUGAUGACGGUACCUGGUGAAUAAGCACCGGCUAACUCCGUGCCAGCAGCCGCGGUAAUACGGAGGGUGCGAGCGUUGUCCGGAUUUAUUGGGUUUAAAGGGUGCGUAGGCGGUUUGCUAAGUCUGGGGUGAAAGCCCGUUGCUCAACAACGGAACGGCCCUGGAAACUGGUAGACUUGAGUACAGACGAGGGCGGCGGAAUGGAUGCUGUAGCGGUGAAAUGCAUAGAUAGCAUCCAGAACCCCGAUUGCGAAGGCAGCUGCCUAGACUGUAACUGACGCUGAGG
Molecule: ribosomal RNA, 404 nt
Filed under: uncultured bacterium
Lineage: Bacteria
Description: bacterial SSU rRNA
Rfam family: Bacterial small subunit ribosomal RNA
Source: RNAcentral